AAUUUGCCUUACGCUGUCCGAAAGCGAAAAACAAAGGAGAGCUUUAGCAGUGGAAAAUUCCCAGCUCCGGCAUUGCCGAAAUGAUGCAGCCUCUCCACAUGAGGACUUCGUGCUCUUCCUUCCAGGGGUGUCUGCAUAUUAAGAAGAUUGGAUAGUGACUUUACAGUGAUGAAACCUGUUAAGAUACCAUCUUAACCAGUGGAUCAUCACUGGUAGCUGGACAUAUCAGAAUCAUGUGCCCCUGAUAUAUGAUUUGCUUAGAAGGGUAUGUCACCUCUGUUACUUUUCACAAAAAUUCAUGGCCUUAACCAUGGAAAAAGAUCAAACUCAAACUGAGGACCUGACCAGUAAUCUUUAAAAAUGUCAAGGUCACUACUUUAGGUGAAGGGAAAGACAACAUUCAAUACAGGGGAGGUCAGCACAACUGGACUGGACCAAAAAGCAAAGAAGUCUCCUGAAUAAACUGAAUGCUUCAAAGGUCAGCGGAGCAAGUGUGGGGGUUUGGGGACUACGGUUUCAGGGGACAUCUAAGUCAAUUGGCAAAAUCUAUUAGGAAAACGUUCCACAUCCCACUUUGAAGUGUGGCAUCUGGGGUCUUAAACACUAACAAGCGGCCAUCUAAGAGAUGCAUCAAUGAGUCUCAACCCACCUGGAUCAAAGGAGAAUGAAGAACACCAAGGUCAUAAGGUAAUUAUGAGCCCAAAAGACAGAAAGGGCUACAUGAACUAGAGACUACAUCAUCCUGAGACCAGAAGAACUAGAUGGUGCCCAGCCACAACCGAUGACUGCCCUGACGGGGAACACAACAGAGAACCCCUGAGGGAGCAAGAGAGCAGUGGGAUGCAGACCCCAAAUUCUCAUAAAAAGACCAGACUCAGUGGUCUAAGACUAGAAGAAUCCUGGUGGUCAUGGGCCCCAAACCUUCUAUUGGCCCAGGACAGGAACCAUUCCCAAAGCCAACUCAGCAGACAUGGAUUGGACUGGACAAUGGGUUGGAGAGAGAUGCUGAUGAGGAGUGAGCUACCUGAAUCAGGUUGACACUUGAGACUAUGUUGGCAUCUCCUGUCUGGAGGGGAGAUGGGAGGGUAGAGGGGGUGAGAAACUGGCAAAACAGUCACGAAAGGAGACUGGAAGGAGGGAGCGGGCUGACUAAUUAGGGGGAGAGUAAGUGGGAGUAUGUAGUAAGACGUAUAUAAGUUUAUAUGUGAAAAACUGACUUGUAAACUUUCACUUACAGCACAAUACUUUAAAAAAAAAUAUUGCACAAAAGAAUGUCAGUGUUGUCAAAGACAGAACAAAUGAUGACCUGUCACACGUUGGGGGACUAAGAUGUGGUAAGCAGCCCUGGUGGCGCAGUGGCUAAGUGCUCAGCUGCUAACCAAAAGGUUGGUAGUUCAAACCCACUAGCUGCUCCAUAGAAGAAAGACGUGAUACUCUGCUUCUGUAAAGAUUACAGCCUCCUAUGGGGCAGUUUUACCCUGCCCUGUAGGGUCACUAUGAAUUGGAAUAAACUUGACAGCAAGUUUUUUUUUUAAGAGAUGUGACAACUAAAUGUAGUGUGGGAUGCUGGAUCUGAUCCUGGAAAAGGAAAAAGAACAUUGGUGGAAAAACUAGUGAAAUGUGAAUAAGGCCAGUAGUUUUUAGUCACUGUUAUUUUACCAAUGUUAAUGUAUUAGUUUUGAUAACUGUUCCAUGGUUAUGUGGGAUGUUAACACUGGGAGAAGCCAGGUGAGGGGUGUGCAGGAGCUCUCUGUACUAUCUUUGCAACAACUCUGCAAAUCUUAAAUUAUUUCAAAAUAAGAAAUUGAAAAAAAAAAAAAAAAGGAUCCAAAACAAUGAUUAUUGAAUGCUGGGAACAUUAGGGAAGCAUUUAGCAAGGGGCAGAAGCAGCGAUUCGACCCCAAAACAUCCUGGAAGACAGGCACAUGAAGGCUCAUAACUAUCAUCUUAUAUAUGGAGAACCAGAUGAGAGAAGUGCAAGGAUUCAACAAGAUUACAACCCCAGACAGAAUGCCAACAGUUCUGGAGUCAGAAUGAGGGUGAGUAAGGAGCUGGAUAUAGUUUUCCAGUCUCAUAUAGGGUCUUGAGUGGCAGGCUUAGGAGUUUAUUCUGUGGUAAUGGAGGAACCGCUAAGAUUUUAAGCAGGGGGAGGCAUUGAGACUAAGGUCUUCCACAGUUCAUUCUGAGGCAGCACAGAGGACAGACUGGGGGGGGGGAGAAUGGACACAACAAGGACAGAGGGCUGCCACGGUCACUGAGUUAGGGAUGAGGGAUGUGGGCUGCAGCAGUGGGGGCACCUCUGAAGGAAGAGAUUCAAUAAGUUUUGGAGGUAGGUUUGACAGGAUUUGGAAACUAAUUAGAUGGGAAGGCUGAGUUGGUUGCGAAGACUCCUAGGGUUGUGAUUUGUGAACAGCAAUAUAGCAGAAGAGUUAAGCACACAGGCUUUGGAGUCUCAUAGUCUUGGAUUCCAACUUGUACCCUUGUCACCGAAUAGCUAUGGAAACUUCAGCAAGUUAUUUACUUUCAGCCUGUAUUUUCUCAUCUGUAAAACAGAGACAGUCAUCCCUUACCGAAAGUGGAUGAGAUGAUAAAAUGACAACACAUGUAGCAUAUCUAGCAGUGUCUGGCACAUAGUAAUAAAUGUUGGCAGUUGUUCUGGGACUAAGUGACUACAGGAGUGGCAUUGCUCACUAGGAUGGGGAAGAUAAAUAUCAAGAGCAGGUCUGAUGGCAAGUUCUCAAGCUCCUUCCCUGUGCAGAGCUUUGAGGAAAUCCCUUGCCCACAGCCACAGUCACUCUUUGCUGAGCAGGAAAACUCUCUUCUCUUUGUCAACCAGUAAGAUUCCCCUAGACACCACCUUCCCCCACCCAAGUGUCCUGGCCACAAAGCAGCUCUUGCUAUAAUGCUACAGAACUGACAAAUGAGAUGGGCCGGGAGUAACAGCAGUUCCUGUUCUGGCAUUACACAAUGUAAAACACUCUUCUUCAAAGUUCAGAGAACAUUGAGGCAGCGACAGCCGAGUCCCAGUUUGAUGCUUGUAUGGGGUCUGGGGCUGGAGAGCCAACCAAUGUCAGUUAAGAACAGCUAUCUAUUUCCCGAUGAAAGGCUUCCUCACUAUGAGGGGACGUGUCUUCCCCCACUGAACUAGCAUGUUCUAGCUUAUAUGGGGCAGAUUAAAUAGAAUAUGCUCUCCUCUUCAGGACUGGGAGGAGCCUGCAAUUUCUGUCCUCCAAGCACUGUCAGAUUAGCAUAUUAAAAAAUUUCAAUUCCCUUAGCCUCUCUCCACUGGUACCAUUUUAAAUGAGAGCAUGAUCAUCUCAUUUCCUGACAGAAAAAGGCCUACUGAAGCCUGUGAGCAGGCCAGGUUGUUGAGAAGAGUUGGCCUUGGUAGCUACUAGGGGUUCUCUACUCAGCAGCCAUGAUUGGGGUCUGUAGAGCACCUUUCACUGUCUCAGGAAAAUAAUUCAGGUGAAGUCCCUGUGUUUGGCACUGUCCCAGAUAUGUUCCAUCUUUAUUUUCUCCAACAUAGGAGCCAAAUCUAAUCUCACCAGAGUGGGUCUUUCUAGUUUUUUUUUCCUAUCUACUCACAAUACAGACAGGCUAUAACCUGCCCACUUACAAAAGCAGAAAGACAGGAAACUAUAGGACCUGCUCACAUAGGUAGUUUCCCUGUAGGUAGGGAACACUUUUUUACCCAAGACUAACAGAAAAGUGUGCAAAUGAAGGACGAAAAAUGUUUAAUUAUAAACAUAACAUAUUCUUACACCUUUUAAGAAAAACUCAAGCGAGGCAGGCCCCGUAAGGACCUUUAUAAAAGCACGUGACUCCUGUAAUGGUUGUAGAGUUACCUGAGUACUUGAAAUUACAGUCCAAGGAAACAAAGGAGCUCCAGUACAGUAUUAUACAAUCCAGUGCUGCCAUUUAGUUAAUGAAAGCAUAUAUACAAUUUUGCAAAUAACUCUAAAAGAAAAACAAAAAGGAGGGGGGCUGGAGAUACCAACAAUUACUAGGUAGAAGUAAUUAACCCCAAAGGUGUUUAGAUGGAUGGAGUUAUAUCCAACAAGGAGGGAUACAAACACAGAGAAGUCUAAUUUCUAUGAUUCACUCAGAUACCCGUGAGUCACCCCUGAUAACAUUUCAAGUUACUAACCAGAUAAGAAAAAGCCGCAAAGUGGGCUUGACUGACAUAGUUUGUUUAGGAUGAGACCUUUGUGGGUAUUUGAGUUAUGUUCUACUAAAAUUUCUGAUGAACUGCCAUUGGUAUAUCAACCUCUUAAUGAAAAAUUAGUAUCUGAAUUUUAAAUAGAGUUAUUGUAAGUCUUAUGAAAUGGGAUUCUUCUGCAGCAGGAAAUCAUUACUAUGGGUGGCUGGAUCAGUUUUACCAACUCCGUUUGAUGAAAACAAGUGAAGGUCCUUUCCACCUGAUCCAGGCUAUGGAAUGCUGCCUUUUCCAACCCCCCAAAUAGAAGAAUAAGGCAACUGUCACUUUACUUUGUUUUUAUUUCAAUGUAACAUGCAGUAAAAAAAAGAGAAAAAAAUUAACAAGGGUUUAUUAGCAUUUACAAUGCUUACAAGAAAAAGGACUCUAAAAAGCAAUUUAGUUUAGAUUUAAGAAAUUGCUCUAAUUUAACACUUACAAUAAAUCUAUUUCCAACUGUUCAGUUUGGAUCAAAAUUUAAGAUAGCAUUUGGUAGAUAUUUAUGUCUGCUGACUAACUGCAAUAUUUUUCUAUAACCUCUGAUUCUUGGGAUAUCCAGCCCCCAUUUUCCUAACACAGCAGGGAAGACAUAUACAUGUGGCCAUUUAAAUUAAAGGAAGAAAUGGAGUAAGGGAGAUCCCAGGCUGCAAAAAUAUAUACAAGCAUUUACCUUUUCCAGAACUAAAUGUUUCUUCCAUAAAAAUAUUAAAUAGCCAAGCCCUAUAGAACUAGGGCCAGGGCUACUUCAAAUAUAACUAUUCUGUAUUUUAAAAAUAUAGGGCAGAAAGCCUUUUAGGUGGUAUUUAUACAUUUCACACAAUAUUUCUAGGUCUCUAAAUGAAUCAUGAAGCAUUAUGUAGAACAACAAAAAAAGCUACUUUCUUACAUUAUCUCUUAAUUUAAUCUCAUAAAUCUCUUGUAAAUAUUGUAGGUAACUACAUUUCAAUAUGAGAAUUCACUUCAAGAGUAAGUCUUUAUAGAAGGCUUAAUCUCCAUAGCCAUGUAUUGCCGAAGUUUAGACUUGUAUAAUGAAUGGGUAGUUGGCAGACAUUCGCUCUGUAAGACAAAGCAAUAGCAUUUUUUUUUCUCCCAACCAAUAAAAAGGCAGAGAGUCCCUACUUUGAAAACAACUAGGGCUUCUGGAGACCAUACUACAUUUCCAGGGGUAUAUGGACUAAAAAAUAAAAUAAGAGUUGGGCUGAGCCUAAUCUCCCCCUUUAUACUAACAAUCUCUGGAUGAGGCAACCCCCUUUUACUCACCUUAGUCUCUGCUUUAUGAUGGCAGUGUCUUAGAGUACAGAUACACAAGAUAAAAAAAAGUUUUCGUUGUUGUUUCAAGAUUUAAAUGGGGACAAAAAGACAUUACUUUCCAUAUGGGAUAGGGGUUUGUUAGUCUAUGCUUACUCUUGACUCAAUGCUACUUGUUUGUGCUACGCUACUAAAACCUGUCAAAGUCCCUGUUUCAUGAGUUAUGAGGCUGUCCCCAGAGUUCAGCUGUGACAGCUAAACUCAGGUGGCUUAGGCUUCAUCCCACUGUCCAUAAAGUAAAAUCUGUGACAGCAGCCAUCUCAACAGAGUCUAAGUUAGGCCAAGUUAAAAGAAAUGAAGUACAGAAAAGUUCAAAGUGCAUUAAUUCACUACUAAAGGAGCAGUCUAAACAGUUAAUGGGGGGGAAAAAGGAAAACCUAAAUUUUCAAGGGUGAAAAGAAUAUCACAGGUGAGGGAUGUUAAUCCAAUUCAGGAUAAUGUAAAGAACGGAAAUAACUACUUCAGCUAUGUGUCAGAGAAAUGAUAAAUCUGAAGACUUAAUCCACAGAGAAUACAUUUCUGUGGUUACUAGAUGGUGAUGCUUCCUUUUUUAGUUAGUACCACAGCUCUCCCAAAUUAAAACGUAAUUUCAGAGGAUGUUUCAUUGACUUCUAUUUGGACUAGAAAGCACUCUGGUUACACCUUUAGCUGCUUGGUAAUAACUAAAUAUAACUGAAGUUGGUGGAUUAUGAUAAAACCAUAAAGAUGCAAACUCUUCCCAUACAAAAAUCUUCACUGAUGGCUUUAGACAAAUUCAGCUAAAUUAAUUCCAAUUCUAGGUUAACUUUUAUAAACAACAGUGAAGGAACCACAGUGUUAAUAUUGUUUGUAAAGUUUAGUAUUCACAAGGCAAUUAAAUAAUCAAAUUUUCCAAAUGAAGAGAGGUAUGAAGUCAAUUGCAGGCUGAGACGGACUUCUCCCUGAAUUCAGAUUGACAAAGCUAUUUUGUAGACAGAUGUAAAAGUCCUGCAUCGCUUCCAAGUAUAACAUCAAAAUGAUGCCUGGAUUCAUGCUCCAGAAAGGAAAACAACAGUCAGGCCAGGCUGAAGUGAGAGGGACAGCAAAAGCCAGACGUCUGCUCAUGGUCCCCAAGAGCUGGGUUAAGCUUGUACUUUUAACAAAUGCCUCUUACCAAGAGGCUUAAUAUGAAGAUCUUGCAUAUUACAGUUACCAAGGGACUUGCCCACAUACCUGCAGAAUCUUUAAAAAACCUACUCCCAAAGUGAGACUUAACACACAUAUAUAAAAUUGUUGGUAAGGAAAAAAUCUAGUGGAAUAAAACAAGGCAGAUUUCAUUGCUGUGUUAAAUCUGAAGUUACGUAAGGUUUUGACUAGUCGUUUGCAGAUCUGAUUUCUGGAAAUGCUGAGUAGAAUUCUAUCCAGAAUCACUGGGAGAUAAAUCUCAAUGAUAACAUUAAUUUACUUACACAAAGAUAACUCUCUAAACAGUCACAGUCCAAUUUACAACAAGAUGUGCAACAGGCAGAGAGAGAAAAGGACAAACAUUAUAAAUGUGUUCUUGUCCUCUGAUGGUGCAAAUCCUCAGAAGCUAUUCUUGUCCAAAUCCUUCUGUUUCUUCAAUGGCAAACAGCAGCUUUUCCUUCAGUUGCUCGUAACUCUUAUAGGGUGGCAGGUCCAGGCGGUUAAAACUAAAAGUAAUAAUUGUUAGUAAUGAUUGAGAAAAGGAAAUAUACAAAGAAUCAUACGGGCAUUAUACCAUAGCAAAACUGGCUUUAAACUCAGGCAAAACUGGGUUCAAAUCCCAGCUCUGUCACUGGGUCUUUGAACAAGUGCUUUAACCUUUCCAAGUUUCAGUUUCGUCUCUGGUAAAAUGGGAAUAAUAAUCCCUACCUCUCGGGGUAGAGGGAAGCAGCAGCAAGCACAUGACAUACUGCCUGGUGCAGUAAGUACUCAAUAAAAUGUUAGUCCUUUCCAUGCUCACCUCUCCACCUCAAUUCUUCAUCAGAGAUUAGCCAACUUUUUCUGUAAAGGCGCUACCUCGGAAAGGGCCAGUAAAAGGGUCAGCUAUUUUAGGCUUUGCAUGCCAUAAGGUCUCUUUUCAAAACAUUUUAAGACCUCUACAAUAAAAAGACAAUCCAAUUAAAAAUGGGCAAAGGAUAAGCAGUAACUUCGGUGAAGGGUAAGAUGGUACACAAUCCUGGGGAAGUCAGCGCAACUUGACCAGGGCAAAGUUAUAGAAGCUUCAUAGACAAUCCCAAAUGUCCUGAGAGAACAAGCUACUGGGCUGAGGGCUGGAGGCCAUGGUCUCGGGAGACAUCUAGUUCAACUGGCAUAACACAGUCUAUAAAGAAACUGUUCUACAUCCAACUGUGCUGAGUAGCAUCUGGGGUCAUAGAAACCUGCUAGUGGCCAUCUAAGAUACAUCUAGUGGUCCCAUCCCAGCUGGAACAAAGGAAAGUGAAAAAGACCAAAGACAUACGGGAAAGGUUAAUCCAAAGGACUAAUGGGCUAAAACUACCAUAACCUCCACCAGACUAACCCCAGAAGAACUAGAUGGUGCCAAGAUACCACUACGAACUGCUCUGGCAAGGAUGACAAUAGAGGGUCCUGGGCAGAGCAGGAGAAAAACGUAGAACAAAAGUAAAAUUCACCAAAACAAACAAACAAAAAAACCAAGCGUGCUGGUCUGACGGACAUUGGAGAAACCCUGCGAGUAUAGCCCCUGGACACCCUUUUAACUCCGUACUUAGGUCACUCCCAAGGUUCACCCUUCAGUCAAAGAUUAGACAGGUCUAUAGGGCCAACAAUAACACAUGUGAGGAACAGGCUGCAUAGUUCAAUUGAUGCAUAAGAGACUGAUGGGCACAACAGCACCAAAGCAAAGAACAGAAGGCAGAAAGGGACUGGAAAACUGGAUGAAUGGAAAUAGGGAAGAGAACUUGAAGCACUUAUUGAUGAUGAUCAAAGACCACAGUCUUCAGUAUGGAUUACACCUCAACAUAAAACAAAAAUCAUCACAACUGGAACAAUAAGCAACAUCAUGAUAAACAGAGAAAACACUGAAGUUGUCAAGGAUUUCCUUUUACUUGGAUCCACAAUCAACACCCAUGGAAGCAGCAGUCAAUAAAUCAAAAGAUGCACUGCACUCGGCAAAUGUGCUGCAAAAAGACUUCUUUUAAGUGUUGAAAACCAAAGAUGUCACCCUGAAGACUAAGGUGUGCCGGACCCAAGCCAUGGUGUUUUCAGUCACCUCAUAUGCAUGUAAAAACUAGACGAUGAAUAAGGAAGAACUGAAAUCUCUGAAUUGUGGUGUUGGCGAAGAAUAUUGAAUGUACCAUGGACUGCCAAAAGAAUGAACAAAUCUGUCUUUGAAGAAGUACAACCAGAAUGCUCCUUAGAAAUGAGAAUGGUAACACUUCGUCUCACAUACUUUGAACAUGUUAUUGGGAGGGACAAGUCUUGGAGACGGGCAUCAUGCUUGGUAAAGUAUAGGGUCAGCGAAAAAGAGAAAGACCUUCAACGAGAUGGACUGACACAGUGGUUGCAACAAUGGGCUCAAGCAUAACAAUGACUGUGAGGAUGGCACAGGACCAGGCAGUGUUUUGUUCUGUUAUACACAGGGCUGCUAUGAGUCAGAACCAACUCGACAUCACCUAACAACAACAACUUUAAGAAAUUAUUUUCUGGUCUAGUAUUCUGCUCCCAUUGGCUCUCUGUGCUAUUCUUAGUUUGCGAACUUUUAAAAGGCAUCUUGAUAUUUUAGGCCAUAUCAGCAUCAACAUCACAAGGUAACAGAUGAUAAAUGUACCCUAAAGCUUUGGCCGUCUGCUGUAUUUUUAGGAUAAGACCUAGGAAAAUGUCUGUUGACAGGGAAAUAAUGUUAUCCACAAAGGGAAAAUAAACUUACAAUGAUUUCUUUGUCACGCUUGCAAAUAAAAAACACAGAACUUGACAAAGUAAUGAGACUAGUUUUUAUGUGCGACUGAGAGAAGCUGUUCACAACAGUAUAAUUAAAGCAUAGCACAGUCUCUUUCAAGUGAGAAAAGGGCAAAUGGCUAGAGGUCAAACCAAAACACUUUUAUGUGUAAGAUCAACAUACAAAAAAGUUCAAUUGCAUUUCUAUACACUAGAAAUGAACAAUCUGAAAAUAAAGAAAACAAUUUCAUUUACAAUAGCGUCAUAAAGAAUAAAAUACUUACGAAUAAAUUUAACGAAAGAAGUAUAAGACUUGUAUGCUAAAAACUUAAAAAAACACUGUCCAGUGAAAUUUAAAAAGACAAAAAAAAAGGAAA
This is a long non-coding RNA of Loxodonta africana (African savanna elephant), 9759 nucleotides long. RefSeq lists it as uncharacterized. The record is from RefSeq and is a predicted model, not a curated record. NCBI's taxonomy places the organism in Eukaryota, Metazoa, Chordata, Mammalia, Proboscidea, Elephantidae. The transcript is spliced from 2 exons.